UCCUGGCUCAGAUUGAACGCUGGCGGCAUGCUUUACACAUGCAAGUCGAACGGUAGAGGGGGCAACCCCUUGAGAGUGGCGAACGGGUGAGUAAUGCAUCGGAACGUGCCCAGUCGUGGGGGGAUAACUACUCGAAAGAGUGGCUAAUACCGCAUACGACCUGAGGGUGAAAAGCGGGGACCGAAAGGCCUCGCGCGAUUGGAGCGGCCGAUGUCAGAUUAGGUAGUUGGUGGGGUAAAGGCCUACCAAGCCUGCGAUCUGUAGCUGGUCUGAGAGGACGACCAGCCACACUGGGACUGAGACACGGCCCAGACUCCUACGGGAGGCAGCAGUGGGGAAUUUUGGACAAUGGGCGCAAGCCUGAUCCAGCCAUGCCGCGUGCGGGAAGAAGGCCUUCGGGUUGUAAACCGCUUUUGUCGGGGAAGAAAUCCUUUGGGUUAAUACCUCGGAGGGAUGACGGUACCUGAAGAAUAAGCACCGGCUAACUACGUGCCAGCAGCCGCGGU
RNAcentral lists this ribosomal RNA (506 nucleotides) under uncultured bacterium. RNAcentral's name for it is "bacterial SSU rRNA". It matches the Rfam family "Bacterial small subunit ribosomal RNA", at positions 17 to 521 of the family's 1533-position model. The record is from RNAcentral.